RNAcentral lists this ribosomal RNA (458 nucleotides) under uncultured bacterium. Its description in RNAcentral is "partial 16S ribosomal RNA". It matches the Rfam family "Bacterial small subunit ribosomal RNA", at positions 338 to 795 of the family's 1533-position model. The record is from RNAcentral.
CCUACGGGAGGCAGCAGUGAGGAAUAUUGGUCAAUGGGCGAGAGCCUGAACCAGCCAAGUCGCGUGAGGGAGUACUGCCCUAUGGGUUGUAAACCUCUUUUGUCGGGGAGCAAAAGCCGGACGUGUCCGGCUGUGAGAGUACCCGAAGAAAAAGCAUCGGCUAACUCCGUGCCAGCAGCCGCGGUAAUACGGAGGAUGCGAGCGUUACCCGGAUUUAUUGGGUUUAAAGGGUGCGCAGGCGGAUUUUUAAGUCAGCGGUAAAAUCGUGGGGCUCAACCCCAUCCAGCCGUUGAAACUGGGGAUCUAGAGUGUGUGAGAGGUAUGCGGAAUGCGUGGUGUAGCGGUGAAAUGCAUAGAUAUCACGCAGAACCCCGAUUGCGAAGGCAGCAUACCGGUGCACAACUGACGCUCAGGCACGAAAGCGUGGGUAUCGAACAGGAUUAGAUACCCUAGUAGUC